GACGAACGCUGGCGGCGUGCCUAAUACAUGCAAGUUGAGCGCUGAAGGUUGGUACUUGUACCGACUGGAUGAGCAGCGAACGGGUGAGUAACGCGUGGGGAAUCUGCCUUUGAGCGGGGGACAACAUUUGGAAACGAAUGCUAAUACCGCAUAAAAACUUUAAACACAAGUUUUAAGUUUGAAAGAUGCAAUUGCAUCACUCAAAGAUGAUCCCGCGUUGUAUUAGCUAGUUGGUGAGGUAAGGGCUCACCAAGGCGAUGAUACAUAGCCGACCUGAGAGGGUGGUCCACCACAUUGGGACUGGGACACGGCCCAAACUCCUUCGGGGAGCAGCAGUAGGGGAACUUCGGCCAUGGGCGGAAGUCUGGCCGAAGAACGCCGCGGGGGGGGAAGAGGUUUUCGGGUCGGAAAACUCUGUUUGUAGGGAAGAAAGUGGGGGAGGGUAGAAAGCUCAUGAAGUGACGGUAACUAAACAGAAAGGGACGGCUAACUACGUG
This 497-nucleotide ribosomal RNA is filed under the name uncultured bacterium. Its description in RNAcentral is "partial 16S ribosomal RNA". It matches the Rfam family "Bacterial small subunit ribosomal RNA", at positions 28 to 507 of the family's 1533-position model. The record is from RNAcentral.